This 507-nucleotide ribosomal RNA is filed under the name Duvalius wingelmuelleri. RNAcentral describes it as "partial 16S ribosomal RNA". It matches the Rfam family "Bacterial large subunit ribosomal RNA", at positions 1926 to 2641 of the family's 2925-position model. The record is from RNAcentral. Lineage: Eukaryota; Metazoa; Arthropoda; Insecta; Coleoptera; Carabidae.
AAUGGCUGCAGUAAUAUAACUGUACAAAGGUAGCAUAAUCAUUAGUUUUUUAAUUAAAAGCUUGUAUGAAAGGUUGGACGAAGUAAAAUCUGUCUCUUUUUAAUAUAAUUAGAAUUUAAUUUUUAAGUAAAAAAGCUUAAAUUUAUAUAAAAGACGAGAAGACCCUAUAGAGUUUAAUAAUUUAUUUUAAAUAAUUAAUUUAGAUUUAUUUAUUUUAUUUUUUAUAAAAUUAUUUUAUUGGGGUAAUAAAAAGAUUAGUAUAAUUCUUUUUUUUAUUUUACAUUAAUUUAUGAAUUUAAUGAUCCAUUUUUUAUGAUUAAAAGAUUAAAUUACCUUAGGGAUAACAGCGUAAUUUUUUUAAAGAGUUCAUAUCGAUAAAAAAGUUUGCGACCUCGAUGUUGGAUUAAAGAUUAAUUUAGGUGUAGAAGUUUAAAUUUUUGGUCUGUUCGACCAUUAAAUCUUUACAUGAUCUGAGUUCAAACCGGUGUAAGCCAGGUCGGUUUCUAU